RNAcentral lists this long non-coding RNA (263 nucleotides) under Daucus carota (carrot). RNAcentral's name for it is "long non-coding RNA (DCAR_LNC000531)". Lineage: Eukaryota; Viridiplantae; Streptophyta; Magnoliopsida; Apiales; Apiaceae. The record is from RNAcentral.
GGCAUAUACUAUCAGGUUAGUUUGGAAUUUGAAUGUAUUGUCGGGUAUGGAUGGUGUAGGUAUCUAGUGUGGAGAGGUAAAUAAUGGUAUAUAAGUUAAAGAAAGGGCUUCACUAUGAUAUCUUUGCCUUUUGAAUUGAUUUCUAAGAUGGAGAUAGGCAGAUAGCUGCUUUUAAUUUCUAAUUGAAUAUAAGAUCAUGUAUAUUGGUUGUGUUAUUUGCUAAAUUGCCGUUGCCAGACCAAGUGGCCCUAUGCUCUCUUCUC